UGCAAGUCGAACGAGAGAGAAGGAGCUUGCUUCUUCGAUCGAGUGGCGAACGGGUGGGUAACGCGUGAGGAACCUGCCUCAAAGAGGGGGACAACAGUUGGAAACGACUGCUAAUACCGCAUAAGCCCACGGGUCGGCAUCGACCUGAGGGAAAAGGAGCAAUCCGCUUUGAGAUGGCCUCGCGUCCGAUUAGCUAGUUGGUGAGGUAACGGCCCACCAAGGCGACGAUCGGUAGCCGGACUGAGAGGUUGAACGGCCACAUUGGGACUGAGACACGGCCCAGACUCCUACGGGAGGCAGCAGUGGGGAAUAUUGCACAAUGGGGGAAACCCUGAUGCAGCGACGCCGCGUGGAGGAAGAAGGUCUUCGGAUUGUAAACUCCUGUUGUUGAGGAAGAUAAUGACGGUACUCAACAAGGAAGUGACGGCUAACUACGUGCCAGCAGCCGCGGUAAAACGUAGGUCACAAGCGUUGUCCGGAAUUACUGGGUGUAAAGGGAGCGCAGGCGGGAAGACAAGUUGGAAGUGAAAUCUAUGGGCUUAACCCAUAAACUGCUUUCAAAACUGUUUUUCUUGAGUAGUGCAGAGGUAGGCGGAAUUCCCGGUGUAGCGGUGGAAUGC
This 620-nucleotide ribosomal RNA is filed under the name uncultured bacterium. RNAcentral describes it as "bacterial SSU rRNA". It matches the Rfam family "Bacterial small subunit ribosomal RNA", at positions 56 to 689 of the family's 1533-position model. The record is from RNAcentral.